CCUACGGGAGGCAGCAGUGAGGAAUAUUGGUCAAUGGGCGAGAGCCUGAACCAGCCAAGUCGCGUGAGGGAGUACUGCCCUAUGGGUUGUAAACCUCUUUUGUCGGGGAGCAAAAGCCGGACGUGUUCGGCGGUGAGAGUACCCGAAGAAAAAGCAACGGCUAACUCCGUGCCAGCAGCCGCGGUAAUACGGGGGAUGCGAGCGUUAUCCGGAUUUAUUGGGUUUAAAGGGGGCGCAGGCGGGCUUUUAAGUCCGCGGUAAAAUCGUGGGGCUCAACCCCAUCCAGCCGUUGAAACUGGGGAUCUAGAGUGUGCGAGAGGUACGCGGAAUGCGUGGUGUAGCGGUGAAAUGCAUAGAUAUCGCGCAGAACCCCGAUUGCGAAGGCAGCAUACCGGUGCACAACUGACGCUCAGGCACGAAAGCGUGGGUAUCGAACAGGAUUAGAUACCCGAGUAGUC
Molecule: ribosomal RNA, 458 nt
Filed under: uncultured bacterium
Lineage: Bacteria
Description: partial 16S ribosomal RNA
Rfam family: Bacterial small subunit ribosomal RNA
Source: RNAcentral